Molecule: ribosomal RNA, 505 nt
Filed under: uncultured bacterium
Lineage: Bacteria
Description: partial 16S ribosomal RNA
Rfam family: Bacterial small subunit ribosomal RNA
Source: RNAcentral
GACGAACGCUGGCGGCGUGCCUAAUACAUGCAAGUAGAACGCACAGUUUAUACCGUAGCUUGCUACACCAUAAACUGUGAGUUGCGAACGGGUGAGUAACGCGUAGGUAACCUGCCUGGUAGCGGGGGAUAACUAUUGGAAACGAUAGCUAAUACCGCAUAAUAUUGAUUAUUGCAUGAUAAUUGAUUGAAAGAUGCUAUUGCAUCACUACCAGAUGGACCUGCGUUGUAUUAGCUAGUAGGUGAGGUAACGGCCCACCUAGGCGACGAUACAUAGCCGACCUGAGAGGGUGAUCGGCCACACUGGGACUGAGACACGGCCCAGAAUCCUACGGGAGGCAGCAGUAGGGAAUCUUCGGCAAUGGACGAAAGUCUGAACGAGCAACGCCGCGUGAGUGAAGAAGGUUUUCGGAUCGUAAAGCUCUGUUGUAAGAGAAGAAAGGGUGUGAGAGUGGAAAGUUCACACUGUGACGGUAUCUUACCAGAAAGGGACGGCUAACUACGUG